Molecule: ribosomal RNA, 217 nt
Filed under: Glomeromycotina sp.
Lineage: Eukaryota; Fungi; Glomeromycota
Description: partial small subunit ribosomal RNA
Rfam family: Eukaryotic small subunit ribosomal RNA (bases 41-217)
Source: RNAcentral
GGGGUCAGUAGGUUGGUCGUGCCACCGGUACGUACUGGUCUCACUGAUUCCUCCUUCCUGAAGAACCGUAAUGCCAUUAAUUUGGUGUUGCGGGGAAACAGGACUGUUACUUUGAACAAAUUAGAGUGUUUAAAGCAAGCUAACGCUUGAAUACAUUAGCAUGGAAUAAUGAAAUAGGACGAUCGAUCCUAUUUUGUUGGUUUCUAGGAUUGACGUA